GUGCUGGCUUCGCCAGCACAUAUACUAAAAUUGGAACAAUACAGAGAAGAUUAGCACGGCCCUGUGCAAGGAUGACAUGCAAAUUCAUGAAGCAUCCCAUAUUUUU
RNAcentral lists this small nuclear RNA (106 nucleotides) under Mus spretus (western wild mouse). Lineage: Eukaryota; Metazoa; Chordata; Mammalia; Rodentia; Muridae. The record is from RNAcentral.